This 2009-nucleotide long non-coding RNA is filed under the name Mus musculus (house mouse). Its description in RNAcentral is "HOX transcript antisense RNA". Lineage: Eukaryota; Metazoa; Chordata; Mammalia; Rodentia; Muridae. The record is from RNAcentral.
AGCUGGCAGGGAGUGGAGCCAGAGGCAGAAAAGGAGAGAAAAGUUUCCUGCCAUCUUCAUUAGUUGACUUCCCAGUCCACAGCCACAGCUUCCCGGGGCUGCAGAAUUCACUCUCAAUAAAGAAAGGAGGCUUAAAAAAAAAAAAAAAAGUCCUGUGUUUACAAGACCAGAAAUGCCAGCGCUAAGUCCUUCCAGAGAGAAAGGCUGAAAUGGAGGACCGACGCCUUCCUUAUAAGCUCAUCGGAGCACGAUAGAAAAGCAACUGUAAAGGCAGAGAGAGUAAGAGCGGAAGGAAGGAAGUCAGCGCCAACGUAGACCAAAAGGAACCACCCAGAAAUGUAGAAAAAGGAACCGGCAGAGGUCCCCAACAUCGGUAGAAGGACAGAAGACACGCACGGAGAAAGGUUUAUGUUUUGUUUUGUUGUUUUUUAAAUUUCAACUUGGAGCUCAAUGAAGAAAAGGCAAAAUAUAGGCCAGUGGACCAGAGGACCGGAAGAGGACCAGUCAUAGCUCACAGUGUGCCGGGUCCAGAUGGAAGGAACUCCAGACAAACCCCAGUGGCAGGAUAGGCACAGUCCUGAAGGCUGGGGGCUCGCCCCUUGAAACCCUCUUCGCAGGCUGCCUGAGUUCUUUUGCUCUCCUUAUCAUCCCCAUCUUUAUGACGAGGCUUGUUAACAUGACCAGCGAUCUGACCACGCACAUCUAUCUCCACCGCACACGCACUCAGCCGAGCAGCUGAGCUGGGGGGACUGAGAGGCACUAAUUAAUUGAUUCCUUGGACUGUAAAAUAUGGCUGUGUCUACACACACGGAACCUGUGGACUCAUAAACAAUAUGUCUGCAGAUGUGAGUGCACUGUCUCUUAAAGAAUUUUUCUAUAGUUAUGUGCCUAUUAGAAUCCAGGAUUUGAAAGACUCAAAUAAGAUUGCUUUUUCAUAAGCCUCAACACAGUACAAUGUCAGAAAAUUCUGCAAAAACUUGGGUUAUGGAAUAGGUUUUCUCUGCUGUUACUGUAGACACACAAAUUGGCUUCUGACUGCUAAGUGUUAGGAUCAAAAUCAAAGCCCAGCUGAGAAGGCCUGAAUGAAGCCUUUGCCCUUCCUGGGAGAAGGGGAAUGGGCCCAGGUUCAGGCCUUACUUCAUAAUGCUGCUUAGGCUCAAGAUUAUAAUAUUAAUAUAUAUAUAUAUUUACAAACCCUAACCUAAAGGAGCCUAACCCUAACCCUUACCUAGCUCUCCAGAUCACUGUCCACCCCUUAACUAUCUGCCUGCAUAGAGCAUUGCUAUAACAUGCUUGCAUUAGUCUUGGAAGAAUGUGUCUUGAGAUGCAUAAGUAAAUAGCUCUAACAAUUCUAUAUAAUCAUGAUUCCAUAGUGAAUCUUGAUGCAAAUAGGCGUUAAUAUGUUCUCAACAGAUACCAGCUUCAGACAAGAGACACAACAGGAAACUAAAAGUGACCAUUUAUACAACAAUGUUUGCUGACAUACAUGGCUAUUUCAAAGACAAAAAUACUAGGCAGAAAUAGAAAAACACAAAUAGAAACACAAAUAGAAAAAACCAAUUAACCAGUGGAGUUUGUCAUUACCAAUGUCAUCAUUGCUUCCUGAUUUUGGGUGACUCUUUUAAACCCGGCUGUGUUCCCUUCAUUCAGCACGGCAGAGAUGGUCUACCUUCCCAUACCUUCAGCUCUGGCUCCAAUAUUUAUUUUUAAAAAAAUCUUCAGAGAAAUGUAUACCACAAAUAAUAUGUGCAUCUAAAGAAUAUGCCAAUAUAAUUUACAUAUUUUUUCAUAUACUAGGCUGAUAUGCACUUUGUAUGUGUGUAAGAAUGUGAUAUAAUUCUGAGUUUUUACUGCUGUAGUAAUAUUUGGGUGCAUUUCAUGCAAUAGUUCCAUAUGCUACAGAAUGUAGAUACACGUGACUAAAUGAACUCAGAAAAGCACACCCUUUAUGUAGGAUAUAUGAAAGCCUUGCUUACAAAUGCAAAUAAAUUCUUGUUUGUGAAUCUAAA